CCCUUAGAUGUUCUGGGCCGCACGCGCGCUACACUGAUGCAUUCAACGAGUCUAAAACCUGCUCUGAUAGGGGUGGGUAAUCUUUUGAAUGUGCAUCGUGAUUGGGAUAGAUGAUUGCAAUUUUUCAUCUUCAACGAGGAAUGCCUAGUAAACGCAAGUCAUCAGCUUGCAUUGAUUACGUCCCUGCCCUUUGUACACACCGCCCGUCGCUCCUACCGAUUGAAUGAUCCGAUGAAUAUCAUGGAUUGAGGAUGCACGCAGGUUCGCCUGUCUUCAUCUUCGAGAAGUGAAGUAAAUCUUAUCAUUUAGAGGAAGGAGAAGUCGUAACA
RNAcentral lists this ribosomal RNA (329 nucleotides) under uncultured eukaryote. Its description in RNAcentral is "partial 18S ribosomal RNA". It matches the Rfam family "Eukaryotic small subunit ribosomal RNA", at positions 1470 to 1796 of the family's 1831-position model. The record is from RNAcentral.